AGCAGCCGCGGUAAUUCCAGCUCCAAUAGCGUAUAUUAAAGUUGUUGCAGUUAAAAAGCUCGUAGUUGAAUUUCGGGAUCAAUAUAUUGGUCAUGCUUAGGUAUGUACUGGUAUUAUUGAUUUCUCCCUUCUGAAGAACCAUGAUGUCAUUAAUUUGAUGUCGUGGGGAAUCAGGACUGUUACUUUGAAAAAUUAGAGUGUUUAAAGCAGGCUUUCGCUUGAAUACAUUAGCAUGGAACAAUGAAAUAGGACGUUUGAUUCUAUUUUGUUGGUUUCUAGGAUCGACGUAAUGAUUAAUAGGGAUAGUUGGGGGCAUUAGUAUUCAAUUGUCAGGGGGUGAAAUUCUUGGAUUUAUUGAAGACUAACUACUGCGAAAGCAUUUGCCAAGGAUGUUUUCAUUAAUCAAGAACGAAAGUUAGGGGAUCGAAGACGAUCAGAUACCGUCGUAGUCUUAACCA
RNAcentral lists this ribosomal RNA (458 nucleotides) under uncultured Glomus. RNAcentral describes it as "SSU rRNA". It matches the Rfam family "Eukaryotic small subunit ribosomal RNA", at positions 569 to 1032 of the family's 1831-position model. The record is from RNAcentral. Lineage: Eukaryota; Fungi; Glomeromycota; Glomeromycetes; Glomerales; Glomeraceae.